GAGGGCAAGUCUGGUGCCAGCAGCCGCGGUAAUUCCAGCUCCAAUAGCGUAUAUUAAAGUUGUUGCAGUUAAAAAGCUCGUAGUUGGAUUUCUGUUAAUAAUUUAUAUAAAAUAUUUUGAUGAAUAUUUAUAUAAUAUUAACAUAAUUCAUAUUACUAUAUAUUUUAGUAUAUGAAAUUUUACUUUGAGAAAAUUAGAGUGCUUAAAGCAGGCAUAUGCCUUGAAUACUYCAGCAUGGAAUAAUAUUAAAGAUUUUUAUCUUUCUUAUUGGUUCUAAGAUAAGAAUAAUGAUUAAUAGGGACAGUUGGGGGCAUUUGUAUUUAACAGUCAGAGGUGAAAUUCUUAGAUUUGUUAAAGACAAACUAAUGCGAAAGCAUUUGCCAAGGAUGUUUUCAUUAAUCAAGAACGAAAGUUAGGGCAUCGAAGACGAUCAGAUACCGUCGUAGUCUUAACCAUAAACUAUGCCAACUAGAGAUUGGAGGUUGUUCCUUACUCCUUC
Molecule: ribosomal RNA, 499 nt
Filed under: Cryptosporidium parvum
Lineage: Eukaryota; Apicomplexa; Conoidasida; Eucoccidiorida; Cryptosporidiidae
Description: SSU rRNA
Source: RNAcentral